Molecule: ribosomal RNA, 1307 nt
Filed under: Triticum aestivum (bread wheat)
Lineage: Eukaryota; Viridiplantae; Streptophyta; Magnoliopsida; Poales; Poaceae
Description: partial small subunit ribosomal RNA
Source: RNAcentral
GACUAGUUCCGUUUUGUAUCAGGCCUGGCAUGACCAGACCAGGGCCUCUUUCUAUUGAAACUACACAUUCUCCACUGCCAAUUUCUCUCAAAAAUAAUAAAAGACAGACUACUGUAUUUCAUGCACCACAGCGUUAGAAAAAAAUUACAAAUUUCCAGCUCCAAGCACCUUGCACAGCUUGAAGUAGUCCUUCGUCUUCGUCCAACCUGAAACAAAGAGGUCACCUUGUUUCUACAUCCACGCCUCUCGUUUUUAGUUUUUGUCACAUUGGCGAACUAGUGGUGGUUAACCUCCAGAGAAAGUGCAGUACUUUGUUUGGUAAAGAUAGUCCCCAUAUAUAGUUUCUUUCAUUAAAAAACCUGAUUAUCGGUAGCAGGAUUUGACGUUGUUGCCAAUCCUCGAAAUGAUUCAUGUGCUUUGCUUCUAUCUCGAGCCACUUUGUAGGCUGAUUUAACCGGGAAUAAGCCUCUUUUGUCAUAGUGCCAGGCAGGUUGAUCAUCAAAUUGAUCAUGGACCGGAAUUUUGAUGAUUUCCUGCCCAUCCCAUACAUUUGUCACUGGAUCAAUCAGCUCUUGUACUCUUGUCACCAAGUUUCUGUCAUUCCUUGAGAUCACCCUUGUAGAGAUGCCUCUCGGUCUUGAAAAAAAGCCCUUUCCACGCUUAACUGACCUCUUGAAGCACCACCCUUCCGUUUAUACACCAACCUGCCAUUAAAGCACCACCCUCCCGUUUGAGGCUUCAGAGUAUGUUAUUGGCGUGAUGCUGUAUGUAUUCUUCAACUUCUUUGAGACACAUGUAUCAUCUAUAUGUAGGCGCCCUUGGUAGAGUACAUUCCAGUUGGCAAGUGUUUCCACUUGAUUCCUUUGCAGUUCAAUCUGCCAAUGCCGCUCUUCUAGCUCACUGAAUUGAUGAGGAAUGAAAUGAUUAUGUAGAACCUGCAAGUUCUUGUAACUUGGUCUCCGGUCUGACAAUACAGCGAUCGAUUUGUCGUCACAGCUCCUCCUUGCACCAUCUUCUCAAGGUGCAUUCUCAGAAAGUGCCACAACAUCCAUCUACAACAUACCCCUGGGGAAAAAAAAGGCAUUCCUCAGCUUCUACAAUAAAAACAGAAAGCUCAUAUACAAGAAAGGAAAGAUAUGAUCUUAUGGAUAUUUUCUACACUGCAUGAUGUAGAGUAGAUAGUUGCUGGUAUCAUGCAAGUCAUAGAUUUAUCUAGCUUAGGAGUCGGAUCCAUAUAUCUGUUUCGGUAUCCUAGGUCCAUAUGUAGACUACUCAUGUUUAUAUUCUGAAUGUAAACAGGAGUAGUC